This 689-nucleotide ribosomal RNA is filed under the name Salmonella enterica subsp. enterica serovar Kentucky. RNAcentral describes it as "partial 23S ribosomal RNA". It matches the Rfam family "Bacterial large subunit ribosomal RNA", at positions 1084 to 1693 of the family's 2925-position model. The record is from RNAcentral. Lineage: Bacteria; Pseudomonadati; Pseudomonadota; Gammaproteobacteria; Enterobacterales; Enterobacteriaceae.
CCCAGACAGCCAGGAUGUUGGCUUAGAAGCAGCCAUCAUUUAAAGAAAGCGUAAUAGCUCACUGGUCGAGUCGGCCUGCGCGGAAGAUGUAACGGGGCUAAACCAUGCACCGAAGCUGCGGCAGCGAACGUAUCACUUAAAGCGAUUCAGCGGAUGACGAUUGACGGAGCGAAGCGACGUCAAAGCGUAUACAAAGUCGAGUCGGUUUAAGGAUACGUUCGUUGGGUAGGGGAGCGUUCUGUAAGCCUGCGAAGGUGUCCCGUGAGGGAUGCUGGAGGUAUCAGAAGUGCGAAUGCUGACAUAAGUAACGAUAAAGCGGGUGAAAAGCCCGCUCGCCGGAAGACCAAGGGUUCCUGUCCAACGUUAAUCGGGGCAGGGUGAGUCGACCCCUAAGGCGAGGCCGAAAGGCGUAGUCGAUGGGAAACGGGUUAAUAUUCCCGUACUUGGUGUUACUGCGAAGGGGGGACGGAGAAGGCUAUGUUGGCCGGGCGACGGUUGUCCCGGUUUAAGCGUGUAGGCUGGUUUUCCAGGCAAAUCCGGAAAAUCAAGGCUGAGGCGUGAUGACGAGGCACUACGGUGCUGAAGCAACAAAUGCCCUGCUUCCAGGAAAAGCCUCUAAGCAUCAGGUAACAUCAAAUCGUACCCCAAACCGACACAGGUGGUCAGGUAGAGAAUACCAAGGCGCUUGA